This 61-nucleotide transfer RNA is filed under the name Cleridae sp. 2 ACP-2013. RNAcentral describes it as "tRNA-Cys". The record is from RNAcentral. Lineage: Eukaryota; Metazoa; Arthropoda; Insecta; Coleoptera; Cleridae.
UUUAGGUAUUCAAAAAUGAUUUUAAAUUGCAAAUUUGAAGGUGAAAAAUUUCUCUAAACUU